GAUGAACGCUGGCGGCGUGCCUAAUACAUGCAAGUCGAGCGAACAGACGAGGAGCUUGCUCCUCUGACGUUAGCGGCGGACGGGUGAGUAACACGUGGAUAACCUACCUAUAAGACUGGGAUAACUUCGGGAAACCGGAGCUAAUACCGGAUAAUAUAUUGAACCGCAUGGAUCAAUAGUGAAAGACGGUUUUGCCGUCACUUAUAGAUGGAUCCGCGCCGCAUUAGCUAGUUGGUAAGGUAACGGCUUACCAAGGCAACGAUGCGUAGCCGACCUGAGAGGGUGAUCGGCCACACUGGAACUGAGACACGGUCCAGACUCCUACGGGAGGCAGCAGUAGGGAAUCUUCCGCAAUGGGCGAAAGCCUGACGGAGCAACGCCGCGUGAGUGAUGAAGGUCUUCGGAUCGUAAAACUCUGUUAUUAGGGAAGAACAAAUGUGUAAGUAACUAUGCACGUCUUGACGGUACCUAAUCAGAAAGCCACGGCUAACUACGUG
RNAcentral lists this ribosomal RNA (497 nucleotides) under uncultured bacterium. RNAcentral describes it as "partial 16S ribosomal RNA". It matches the Rfam family "Bacterial small subunit ribosomal RNA", at positions 28 to 507 of the family's 1533-position model. The record is from RNAcentral.